AACUCACAGUCAGUGAUUUCAGCUGUUGCCCCAUGUUUCCCCAAAAAGCUUUAUUAUUCAGCUCCUCUUCAGUUCAGGUCCAGCCCUUCUUUCUCAGCUCUUUCCCAUGAUUUCACCUUUUGCUCCCCGAUUUCCUCUCCUAAAUCUGGUGUCUUAGCUUGUACCCAAGUAUUCCAGCUCUUGCCCAUUUCCCCAGAAAAAUUAAAAAAAAAAAAAAAAACACAACUCACAGUCAGUGAUUUCAGCUGUUGCCCCAUGUUUCCCCAAAACAGCUUUAUUAUUCAGCUCCUCUUCAGCUCAGGUCCAGCUCUUCUUCCUCAGCCUCCUCCCAGGGUGUUCAGCUUUUGCCCCAAGUUUCCCCCCAAAGGUUAAAAACUCAACUCACAGUCAGUGAUUUCAGCUGUUGCCCCAUGUUUCCCCCAAAAGCUUUAUUAUUCAGCUCCUCUUCAGCUCAGGUCCAGCUCUUCUUCCUCAGCCUCCUCCCAGGGUGUUCAGCUUUUGCCCCAAGUUUCCCCCCAAAGGUUAAAAACUCAACUCACAGUCAGUGAUUUCAGCUGUUGCCCCAUGUUUCCCCAAAAAGCUUUAUUAUUCAGCUCCUCUUCAGCUCAG
Molecule: long non-coding RNA, 609 nt
Organism: Cygnus olor (mute swan)
Lineage: Eukaryota; Metazoa; Chordata; Aves; Anseriformes; Anatidae
Exons: 3
Source: RefSeq, a predicted model, not a curated record